This 345-nucleotide unclassified non-coding RNA is filed under the name soil metagenome. RNAcentral describes it as "partial contains 5.8S ribosomal RNA, internal transcribed spacer 2, and large subunit ribosomal RNA". The stretch from base 1 to 120 matches the Rfam family "5.8S ribosomal RNA", at positions 35 to 154 of the family's 154-position model. The record is from RNAcentral.
GAUGAAGAACGUAGCAAAAUGCGAUAAGUAAUGUGAAUUGCAGAAUUCAGUGAAUCAUCGAAUCUUUGAACGCACAUUGCGCCCGCCAGUAUUCUGGCGGGCAUGCCUGUUCGAGCGUCAUUUCAACCCUCAAGCCCUCGGGUUUGGUGUUGGGGAUCGGCGAGCCUUUCUGGCAAGCCGGCCCCGAAAUCUAGUGGCGGUCUCGCUGCAGCCUCCAUUGCGUAGUAGUAAAACCCUCGCAACUGGAACGCGGCGCGGCCAAGCCGUUAAACCCCCAACUUCUGAAUGUUGACCUCGGAUCAGGUAGGAAUACCCGCUGAACUUAAGCAUAUCAAAAGCGGAGGA